CUUGGUCAUUUAGAGGAAGUAAAAGUCGUAACAAGGUUUCCGUAGGUGAACCUGCGGAAGGAUCAUUAUCGAAAUUAUUGGUGAGGGUUGUAGCUGGCCUUUCGAGGCAUGUGCACGCUCGAGCCCUUAAUCCACUUUACACCUGUGCACUUAAUGUAGGUCGCCCUUAGAAAAGGUGACCUAUGUCUUAUCAUCAACCCAUCGUAUGUCUCAUAGAAUGUAAUCGAUAUCCUCGCCCUAAAAAAGCGUUGAUAAACUUAUACAACUUUCAACAACGGAUCUCUUGGCUCUCGCAUCGAUGAAGAACGCAGCGAAAUGCGAUAAGUAAUGUGAAUUGCAGAUUUUCAGUGAAUCAUCGAAUCUUUGAACGCACCUUGCGCUCCUUGGUAUUCCGAGGAGCAUGCCUGUUUGAGUGCCAUUAAAUUCUCAACUCCAAGGGUUUCACGACCUUUCGGAGAUUGGACUUGGAGGUGCUGGCCGCAUAUUGGUCGGCUCCUCUCAAAUGCAUCAGCGGAAUUCAACCUUUGGCUUCCGGAUGUCAGUGUGAUAAUCAUGUUGCGCUGUCGUUUGAUCCCUCAGAGUCCGCUUAUAAUGGUCUUCGGACAAAAUCAUCAUCAAAUUUGACCUCAAAUCAGGUAGGACUACCCGCUGAACUUAAGCAUAUCAAUAAGCGGAGGA
Molecule: ribosomal RNA, 678 nt
Filed under: uncultured fungus
Lineage: Eukaryota; Fungi
Description: eukaryotic LSU rRNA
Rfam family: 5.8S ribosomal RNA (bases 264-418)
Source: RNAcentral